This 73-nucleotide transfer RNA is filed under the name Actinomycetota bacterium. RNAcentral describes it as "Actinobacteria bacterium tRNA-Ala". It matches the Rfam family "tRNA". Rfam says of the family: Transfer RNA (tRNA) molecules are approximately 80 nucleotides in length. Their secondary structure includes four short double-helical elements and three loops (D, anti-codon, and T loops). Lineage: Bacteria; Bacillati; Actinomycetota. The record is from RNAcentral.
GGGGAUGAAGCUCAUCCGGUAGAGCAUCUGGCGUGCACCCAGAAGGCGGCAGGUUCGACUCCUGUCAUCUCCA